Molecule: ribosomal RNA, 467 nt
Filed under: uncultured bacterium
Lineage: Bacteria
Description: partial 16S ribosomal RNA
Rfam family: Bacterial small subunit ribosomal RNA
Source: RNAcentral
GACGAACGCUGGCGGCGUGCUUAACACAUGCAAGUCGAACGGAAAGGCCUCUUUCGGGGGGUACUCGAGUGGCGAACGGGUGAGUAACACGUGAGUAACCUGCCCUUGACUUUGGGAUAACUUCAGGAAACUGGGGCUAAUACCGGAUAGGAGCUCCUGCUGCAUGGUGGGGGUUGGAAAGUUUCGGCGGUUGGGGAUGGACUCGCGGCGUAUCAGCUUGUUGGUGGGGUAGUGGCUUACCAAGGCUUUGACGGGUAGCCGGCCGGAGAGGGUGACCGGCCACAUUGGGACUGAGAUACGGCCCAGACUCCUACGGGAGGCAGCAGUGGGGAAUAUUGCACAAUGGGUGGAAGCCUGAUGCAGCAACGCCGUGUGCGGGAUGACGGCCUUCGGGUUGUAAACCGCUUUCGCUCAUGACGAAGCUUUGUGUGACGGUAGUGGGUAAAGAAGCACCGGCUAACUACGUG